AUUUUUUUUUUUGAUUUUUUUAGUUCUACAUGACAUUUUAACUGUCAAUGUCAUAAUACUGUUUGCUUUUACUGCAAUAAAAUACACAUAUUUGUAUUCAGCAAAGUCUCACGUGUAAAACAGUACCCCCUAUGUACAGGUUUUAUGGCGUUUUGGGAAGUUACAGGGUCAAAUAUAGCACGUUACAUUUGAAAUUGAAAUUCGCCAGAUUGGUUGCGUUGCCUUUGGGACUUUAUAGUAGCCCAGGAAUGAAAUUUACACCCAUAAUGGCAUACCAUUUGCAAUAGUAGACAACCCAAG
RNAcentral lists this long non-coding RNA (300 nucleotides) under Pelobates cultripes (western spadefoot toad). The record is from RNAcentral. Lineage: Eukaryota; Metazoa; Chordata; Amphibia; Anura; Pelobatidae.